UCGAGACCCGAACGAACGGACGAUCGCGAACGUGUUACAUAUCUGCUCCCUAACGACUCCGGUUCGUCCCGCCGCUCCUCGCGGCGCGGCGUGACGAGACGGAGGAAACGAAACCCCGGCGCAGUGGGCGCCAAGGAACACUUUUUAGAAGCGCCGUCGCGGCCUCCUCCUCCACCUCCCCAUUGCCAUCACAGAUAGAUAGCGUGGGGAGGAAGGAGGGCGAACGCGGGCGUGGAUAUAGAUAUCGUAUUCUGUACGACUCUCGGCAACGGAUAUCUAGGCUCUCGCAUCGAUGAAGAACGUAGCGAAAUGCGAUACUUGGUGUGAAUUGCAGAAUCCCGUGAACCAUCGAGUCUUUGAACGCAAGUUGCGCCCGAGGCCAUCCGGUCGAGGGCACGCCUGCCUGGGCGUCACGCCUCCCGUCGCUCCCCACAGCCGUGCGGAUGCGGAGAUUGGCCCACCGUGCCUCGUGCGCGGCGGGUCGAAGUGCGGGCCGUCGUCGGGCCGGGCGCGGCGAAUGGUGGACGAAUACUACGUUGUUUGUGCCUACUCUCCGUGCCCCGGCCCUCAACAAUGCGACGCGCCGUCGUCGGACCCCUCACCAGGGAAGGUCCCUCUCUUCUUGUCUUGCUUCUUCUCCUAGUUAUUUAUAGCUAGGAGGAGGAGGAGGAGGAGGAGGAAGGAAUCGUCCUCGGAACG
RNAcentral lists this unclassified non-coding RNA (699 nucleotides) under Crocus musagecitii. RNAcentral's name for it is "sequence contains ITS1, 5.8S rRNA gene and ITS2". The stretch from base 258 to 413 matches the Rfam family "5.8S ribosomal RNA". Lineage: Eukaryota; Viridiplantae; Streptophyta; Magnoliopsida; Asparagales; Iridaceae. The record is from RNAcentral.